RNAcentral lists this unclassified non-coding RNA (306 nucleotides) under Tulostoma sp. RNAcentral describes it as "partial internal transcribed spacer region". The stretch from base 1 to 46 matches the Rfam family "Eukaryotic small subunit ribosomal RNA", at positions 1786 to 1831 of the family's 1831-position model. Lineage: Eukaryota; Fungi; Basidiomycota; Agaricomycetes; Agaricales; Agaricaceae. The record is from RNAcentral.
AAGUCGUAACAAGGUUUCCGUAGGUGAACCUGCGGAAGGAUCAUUAUUGAAUAAACCUGAUGGGUUGUUGCUGGCUUCUAGGAGCAUGUGCACGCCUGUCAUCUUUAUCCAUCCACCUGUGCACCUUUUGUAGUCUUCAGAGUUAAUGAGCGUGAAGCCGUCGAGGGGGUUAACCUUCGAUGCUCUCGCAAGUUUCUCUAGGACUAUGUAUUUCAUAUACCACGUAGAAUGUAUCAGAACGUUUUUAUUGGGCCUCGGUGCCUAUAAAACAAUAUACAACUUUCAGCAACGGAUCUCUUGGCUCUC